Molecule: ribosomal RNA, 605 nt
Filed under: uncultured Aspergillus
Lineage: Eukaryota; Fungi; Ascomycota; Eurotiomycetes; Eurotiales; Aspergillaceae
Description: eukaryotic LSU rRNA
Rfam family: 5.8S ribosomal RNA (bases 225-378)
Source: RNAcentral
CUUGGUCAUUUAGAGGAAGUAAAAGCGUAACAAGGUUUCCGUAGGUGAACCUGCGGAAGGAUCAUUACCGAGUGCGGGCUGCCUCCGGCGCCCAACCUCCCACCCUUGAAUACUAAACACUGUUGCUUCGGCGGGGAGCCCCUUCCGGGGGGCAAGCCGCCGGGGACCACUGAACUUCAUGCCUGAGAGUGAUGCAGUCUGAGUCUGAAUUAUAAAUCAGUCAAAACUUUCAACAAUGGAUCUCUUGGUUCCGGCAUCGAUGAAGAACGCAGCGAACUGCGAUAAGUAAUGUGAAUUGCAGAAUUCAGUGAAUCAUCGAGUCUUUGAACGCACAUUGCGCCCCCUGGCAUUCCGGGGGGCAUGCCUGUCCGAGCGUCAUUGCUGCCCUUCAAGCCCGGCUUGUGUGUUGGGUCGUCGUCCCCCCCGGGGGACGGGCCCGAAAGGCAGCGGCGGCACCGUGUCCGGUCCUCGAGCGUAUGGGGCUUUGUCACCCGCUCGAUUAGGGCCGGCCGGGCGCCAGCCGGCGUCAUCAAUCUAUUUUACCAGGUUGACCUCGGAUCAGGUAGGGAUACCCGCUGAACUUAAGCAUAUCAAUAAGCGGAGGA